Molecule: unclassified non-coding RNA, 2797 nt
Filed under: Hevea brasiliensis (rubber tree)
Lineage: Eukaryota; Viridiplantae; Streptophyta; Magnoliopsida; Malpighiales; Euphorbiaceae
Source: RNAcentral
AAAGAACUGUGAUUGAGGAACAGCUGCACGACAUAUAAAAGAUACAAAUUUGUGAAUAUAUCCCAUCCUAUCAGUGCAUAAAUUAUGGAAAAACAGGACUGAAGGCCCCAGCUUUUCCAUUUCUGUGGAGGAUAACCCCUGGAUAUAUAUGCAAGCAAUUCAAACACAAAUUGUAGAAAAUUGGAGAAAGGAAAACAAUGCCGAUACACAUGUUAUACAAUUCAGAAAACGAUUCAAGGAAUCACAAACUCCAAAUAAUAAUGAUGCAUAUAAAAUUCCAGUUCUAUAUCAACAACUUGGGAUUGUCUUCUUCGGAAAAUAAAAAGAUCAAAUGGGUUUCACGAAACAGCAAUGUGACACCACUAGGAAGUGACAAUGUGGUCAAGUAGUAAUGUUAUAUGCAUCUUUCCUUUUUCAGGUGGUUUUGAUCAAAUUCAUAACAGGCAAAGAAUUAACCUUUAAAAAAAACCAUAACUACACACAAAAGGAAUUCAAGGUCAGUUAAAAAAACCCAAUAAAAUCCAAACAAAAUAAAAAAAAAAACAAAAAGAACCAAAAUUUACAGAAAUUACAUGUAUUUUUUGAACAUUCAUCCCAAUAGGGUGAAAUUUUGGACAUGUAUCUUGUUGUUAUAGGAAAACUUUUACACUAAUCUUGAAAAAGUCUUAUUUUUAAUGUCGAUUGUUGGGGUAAGCGUCUAUAAAAUUUGCUGGGCGUAAUAUAUAAUUUGGUAUUUAAUCAAAAUGGUUGAAUAACUAACUCGUAUGGCCUACAGGACAAAUGGAGCACAUUAGAAUAUGACAAUACACAUAACUCUUUGUUUUAGCUACAGCUUUUACAAAUAUUAAUUUUAACCAAACUUCUAUGACUGCACCUAAAACUAUGAAGGAAAGAGAAAAAUACAAAUCAACUCCUUCCAGCGCACGUAUAUACAAACAUAAAGUUGGUAACACACACAACGCUGGAUAUCACAGAGAAAGAGAACUUAGUGUUUUUCGUUUAUUUACUCUUCAUUCACAAGCACCAUAAAACCUUUAUACGGAUGUGAUUGUUGAGCUACUAAAGAUGGGAACUCCAGCAAAUAAAUUGAUGAGGAGAGCAUUACAACCAAGGAAAGAGAGUGCUAGUGUCUGGAAGACGGAAGAAAGUAUUACAGCCAGUCAGUGUCCAGAGUCUCUGUGAUAUAAACGCCCUGUAAGCUUCAUCCUUUUCAACCAUAGCUUCCACCACAUCAAAAUCGAGUCCAACGUUUCCCAGAUGCAACCAAUGGGCUCAGUCAGAUCCAGCACUGCUAGGCGCUCUGACACAUCAGCUAAUGAUUUGAGAUUGCACUUGAUCAGAGCUUCAACCUAGCACGUCUCAUCCUUGGUAUUCCCAUCAGGUACAUCCACUACAAAUGACUCGAUCACCAGAGUCCCUGGUCUUCCAUCAAUGGUCUCAUGAUGAAGGGAAAUGAUUGAAGAAUAGUUCUAGGGCAAAACAAAACAGUGAAGACAGGCUGGGUGGUUCAGAUCAAAUGAUUACAUAUAAUUUGAAGAACUUAGAAAUCAAAAGUGAAGGAAGUGAACACACAAAUCCUUUAAUUUCAAAGUCAAACCUUAAAACUUCUGGGAUAUAAUAUCAUCCCAACCAAACUAUUAAUAGAAAACAAUUAUAAAAAUUAUCCAGACAUUUAGCAAUAAAAUACUAAACCCAACUAUGUUUUUGGACUCCACUGCAAUGAUUAUAACUUUAAAAAACAAAAAAAAAUCCCCAACAUCUGAUAUGAAAUAAUAAUCUUUUGCCUAAUAUUCUACAAUAAACACACCAAAUUUUCUGGAAACUCACUGUAUGUACAACAUAAGCACACAAACUUAAGAGCAGUAGACGGCAAUAUAACUUUUGAUUUUCAGCAAGGCAAAAUAUUUGCAAUAGAAUUCAGAAUGAUAUAAGAAAAGGAGUUGAAAUGAAUAACAAAAAAAGAACAAGAGACUAUAUACCCUCAAUCUAUGAUCCCCACCAACAAUCCUGAUGCUGAGGAUAUGCUCAUCAUCAUCAAGAAACUCCAAUCUUUCAGUACUUGUAGUGGCAGGAAGCCCAGACUUUACAUCAAUUUCUCUAACACUGCCAAUCUGAAGGUUCCCCUGCGCAACACACCUCCUAAUAAAUGGCUUAUACUUCUGUGGUUGAUCAAAUCUCCUCACCAAAGACCAUACUAGAGGAACAGGAGCUUUGAUGUGCUUAACGAGAGCAGAGCUACACUGAUGAUCAGCAGGAUCAUGCCUAUGAUGUCUCCUAAUGUAUUCAGUCUCUACACUUCCAAAUCCAUUUCCAAUCGCUGUCCCAUUACUCUGACCAUUCAUUUUCGGUUUGCUUUCUCUUCAAACCAAACGCGUCCUUAUCUUUCCCUCACUGCAAACAGAACCAUCAGAUGGAUAGAGAGAAAGCGUGUGAGAGAGACAAAGUCCGCUUUCUCCCUCCAAAACACCUCCCUCGCCGAAAUCACAGGUGCGACGGCCGGCCGACGAUAAUUCUCCACCAAGGACCGCUUUUAAUAUGGAAAUAAGGAAUUCGUGUUAAAAGUCUUUUCUUCGCCUUUCUUUUGUCAAGAGGAGAUGAGGAAGCGUACAAGACUCACCGCCAUAGAAGAGCUACCUCAAGCCUUUCUAUUAUCUAAUCAACUGAAAUAACAAAAGAUAAAUAAAUAAAAAAAUACAAUAAAGAAAAAAUAUAUAAUUUCCGUCAUUUUUUUAAAUAAUUUUUAUUGGGACAUUAAACCUCGGAAUUGAAGUUAAUUACGACUGUGCCAUCAUGUUUG